This is a long non-coding RNA of Anguilla rostrata (American eel), 909 nucleotides long. RefSeq lists it as uncharacterized. The record is from RefSeq and is a predicted model, not a curated record. The transcript has 3 exons. NCBI's taxonomy places the organism in Eukaryota, Metazoa, Chordata, Actinopteri, Anguilliformes, Anguillidae.
ACCGUGAAUUUAGAAGCUGUUAUGUGCUUUAAAAAAGCUUCUAACAAGUUGCUCUGUUGAAACUACACCGGUUGUCACGUGCAGGCGGGCAAACUUGAGUGGCGGUUGCUAGAGAGCAACCAUUGUUGUAGUUUUAAUAUAGCAACGUACUUUUUGAAAGCACAUAACAGCUUCGAAAUCCACGGUGGUGGUAUUAAUGGGUAGAAUUUAUCUCGUAGAACAAAACGUUGAGCUCUCUUAGGCUUACGUUCACCACAUACCUUGAAAUCCCUAUGGAAAAAAUGCUUUGGAAAUCUGUCAAGGGAACCCGUGGCUCAAAAAAGCGAACUUACUUGCGGGUUUUAGGACUACAAAUUGUAAACAUCUGUGGAUCAUUUUCAAUAGCAUCUUCCCUAAUCGACCUUUUACGCAUAAGCGUCAGUGACGUGGACGUCUGAUCAAUGCCACUGACUCCACGACGUGAAUUUUCUACCCAUGAAAUGUCUGUGCCAAGAGUAAUUAACAAUUAACUUAUCCACGAUAGAGACGACAAGUUAGCGCGACGUAGGCCUGACAUACUGCAAACGUAAAGUUGAGUAAAAAAAGUGGAAGGACAUCACAUUUUGUGAGACACCUGGUCCACGUGCAUCCUGAGAGGAAGAAAAAAAGGAUAAAACUGAAUAUGUGCAUGAAUUGCUUCAUCAAAGUCCACUUCAUUGUGUGCAAGACCAGCCGUCUACAUGCAGGGAGCAGUGCGGUUAAAAAAGCAUGCGCAGGCCAGUGAUGGAACUGUGCUUUUGCCUCCUCAUCUCCAGUAUGAAGGGUCUCCAAGUUAUCCAGAUAUGGAAAAUUCUUCGUACAGACCCAGAAGUAGUCAGUGAUUCUUGCCCAGAUUUAAAUGAGCGAUGUCAGUGCUUCUGGGGCGAGUGC